Non-coding RNA from Myotis davidii, 74 nucleotides. Lineage: Eukaryota; Metazoa; Chordata; Mammalia; Chiroptera; Vespertilionidae. The record is from Rfam.
GGUGGUUCUUGGGUGACCCACCCCAGAAUCAGGCUCCCUCCUCUCGGUUCCGGGUGUGUCACCUGAGAACUGCA